UGCCAGCCGCCGCGGUAAUACGAGAUGUGCGAGCGUUGUUCGGAAUCACUGGGCAUGAAGGGUUCGUAGGUGGUUUUGUAAGUUAGGUGUGAAAUGCCCCGGCUCAACCGGGGAACUGCAUUUAAUACUGCAGAACUUGAGGGUGAAAGAGGCAAGUGGAAUUCCAGGUGUAGCGGUGGAAUGCGUAGAUAUCUGGGAGAACGCCAAAGGCGAAGGCAGCUUGCUGGGUCACUCCUGACACUGAGGAACGAAAGCUAGGGGAGCGAACAGGAUUAGAUA
This 279-nucleotide ribosomal RNA is filed under the name uncultured bacterium. RNAcentral describes it as "partial 16S ribosomal RNA". It matches the Rfam family "Bacterial small subunit ribosomal RNA", at positions 506 to 784 of the family's 1533-position model. The record is from RNAcentral.